Molecule: ribosomal RNA, 253 nt
Filed under: uncultured bacterium
Lineage: Bacteria
Description: partial 16S ribosomal RNA
Rfam family: Bacterial small subunit ribosomal RNA
Source: RNAcentral
UACGCAGGGUGCGAGCGUUAAUCGGAAUUACUGGGCGUAAAGCGUGCGAAGGCGGUUUGUUAAGUCUGAUGUGAAAGCCCCGGGCUCAACCUGGGAACUGCAUUGGAAACUAACGGGCUCGAGUGUGGCAGAGGGGGGUGGAAUUCCACGUGUAGCAGUGAAAUGCGUAGAGAUGUGGAGGAACACCGAUGGCGAAGGCAGCCCCCUGGGCUAACACUGACGCUCAGGCACGAAAGCGUGGGGAGCAAACAGG